Molecule: unclassified non-coding RNA, 336 nt
Filed under: soil metagenome
Description: partial contains 5.8S ribosomal RNA, internal transcribed spacer 2, and large subunit ribosomal RNA
Rfam family: 5.8S ribosomal RNA (bases 1-120)
Source: RNAcentral
GAUGAAGAACGUAGCGAAAUGCGAUAAGUAAUGUGAAUUGCAGAAUUCAGUGAAUCAUCGAAUCUUUGAACGCACAUUGCGCCCGCCAGUAUUCUGGCGGGCAGGCCUGUUCGAGCGUCAUUUCAACCAUCAAGCCCCCGGCUUGUGUUGGGGACCUGCGGCUGCCGCAGGCCCUGAAAAGCAGUGGCGGGCUCGCUGUCACACCGAGCGUAGUAGCAUACAUCUCGCUCUGGGCGUGCUGCGGGUUCCGGCCGUUAAACCACCUUCAUAACCCAAGGUUGACCUCGGAUCAGGUAGGAAGACCCGCUGAACUUAAGCAUAUCAAUAAGCGGAGGA